GAUGAACGCUGGCGGCGUGCCUAAUACAUGCAAGUCGAGCGAACAGACGAGGAGCUUGCCCCUCUGACGUUAGCGGCGGACGUGUGAGUAACACGUGUAUAACCUCCCUAUCUGACUGAUAUAACUUCGGGACACCGGCGCUAAUACCGGAUAACAUAUUGAACCGCAUGGUUCAGUAGAGAAAGACGGUUUUGCUGUCACUUAUCGAUGGAUCCGCGCCGCAUUAGCUAGUUGGUAAGGUAACGCCUUACCAAGGCGGCGAUGCGUAGCCGACCUGAGAGCGUGAGGGGCCACACUGGAACUGAGAUACGGUCAAGACUCCAAUGGGAGGCAGCAGUGGGGAAUAUGCGGCAAUGGGCGAAAGCCUGAUGGAGCAACGGCGCGUGAGUGAUGAAGGUCUUCGGAGUGGAAAACUCUGUUAUUAGGGAAGAACACAUGUGUAAGUAACGAUGAAGGUCUUGACGGGACAUAUGCAGAAAGCGAAGGCUAAAUACGUG
Molecule: ribosomal RNA, 497 nt
Filed under: uncultured bacterium
Lineage: Bacteria
Description: partial 16S ribosomal RNA
Rfam family: Bacterial small subunit ribosomal RNA
Source: RNAcentral